This 254-nucleotide ribosomal RNA is filed under the name uncultured bacterium. RNAcentral's name for it is "partial 16S ribosomal RNA". It matches the Rfam family "Bacterial small subunit ribosomal RNA", at positions 524 to 776 of the family's 1533-position model. The record is from RNAcentral.
GACGAACCGUGCGAACGUUAUUCGGAAUCACUGGGCUUAAGGCGCGUGUAGGCGGAUGGGGACGUCGGUUGCUGAAAGCCCCCGGCUCAACCGGGGAACGGGCUCCGAAACGCCCCGUCUGGAGGGACGUAGGGGGACCUGGAACUUCCGGUGGAGCGGUGAAAUGCGUUGAGAUCGGAAGGAACGCCCGUGGCGAAAGCGAGGUCCUGGACGUUUACUGACGCUGAGACGCGAAAGCUAGGGGAGCGAACGGG